Molecule: ribosomal RNA, 439 nt
Filed under: uncultured bacterium
Lineage: Bacteria
Description: partial 16S ribosomal RNA
Rfam family: Bacterial small subunit ribosomal RNA
Source: RNAcentral
CUACGGGGGGCAGCAGUGGGGGAUAUUGCACAAUGGGCGAAAGCCUGAUGCAGCAACGCCGCGUGAAGGAAGACGGUUUUCGGAUUGUAAACUUCUAUCAGCUGGGAAGAAAAUGACGGUACCAGACUAAGAAGCCCCGGCUAACUAUGUGCCAGCAGCCGCGGUAAUACAUAGGGGGCAAGCGUUAUCCGGAAUUACUGGGUGUAAAGGGUACGUAGGCGGCUGAUCAAGUCAGAUGUGAAAGCCCGGAGCUCAACUCCGGGAUUGCAUUUGAAACUGGUCGGCUAGAGUGCAGGAGAGGAAAGUGGAAUUCCUAGUGUAGCGGUGAAAUGCGUAGAUAUUAGGAAGAACACCAGUGGCGAAGGCGGCUUUCUGGACUGUAACUGACGCUGAGGUACGAAAGCGUGGGGAGCGAACAGGAUUAGAUACCCUGGUAGUC